Molecule: transfer RNA, 87 nt
Filed under: Clostridia bacterium
Lineage: Bacteria; Bacillati; Bacillota; Clostridia
Description: tRNA-Leu
Rfam family: tRNA
About the family: Transfer RNA (tRNA) molecules are approximately 80 nucleotides in length. Their secondary structure includes four short double-helical elements and three loops (D, anti-codon, and T loops).
Source: RNAcentral
GCCCGGGUGGCGGAACAGGCAGACGCACAGGACUUAAAAUCCUGCGGUGUAACAACCGUGCCGGUUCGACCCCGGCUCCGGGCACCA